UCCAGACUCCUACGGGAGGCAGCAGUGAGGAAUAUUGGUCAAUGGGCGAGAGCCUGAACCAGCCAAGUCGCGUGAGGGAGUACUGCCCUAUGGGUUGUAAACCUCUUUUGUCGGGGAGCAAAACCCGGGACGUGUCCCGGACUGCGUGUAUCCGAAGAAAAAGCAUCGGCUAACUCCGUGCCAGCAGCCGCGGUAAUACGGAGGAUGCGAGCGUUAUCCGGAUUUAUUGGGUUUAAAGGGUGCGUAGGCGGUCCGUUAAGUCAGCGGUAAAAUUGCGGGGCUCAACCUCGCUCCGCCGUUGAAACUGGCGUUCUUGAGUGGGCGAGAAGUAUGCGGAAUGCGUGGUGUAGCGGUGAAAUGCAUAGAUAUCACGCAGAACUCCGAUUGCGAAGGCAGCAUACCGGCGCCCAACUGACGCUGAAGCACGAAAGCGUGGGUAUCGAACAGGAUUAGAUACCCUAGUAAG
Molecule: ribosomal RNA, 466 nt
Filed under: uncultured bacterium
Lineage: Bacteria
Description: bacterial SSU rRNA
Rfam family: Bacterial small subunit ribosomal RNA
Source: RNAcentral